RNAcentral lists this ribosomal RNA (253 nucleotides) under uncultured bacterium. RNAcentral's name for it is "partial 16S ribosomal RNA". It matches the Rfam family "Bacterial small subunit ribosomal RNA", at positions 524 to 776 of the family's 1533-position model. The record is from RNAcentral.
GACGUAGGGCGCGAGCGUUGUCCGGAAUUAUUGGGCGUAAAGGGCGCGUAGGCGGCUGCUCAAGUCGGGUGUGAAAGCCCGGGGCUCAACCCCGGAACGGCACCCGAGACUGGGCGGCUCGAGACCGGGAGAGGUGGGUGGAAUACCCAGUGUAGAGGUGAAAUUCGUAGAUAUUGGGUGGAACACCGGUGGCGAAAGCGGCUCACUGGCCCGGUUCUGACGCUGAGGCGCGAAAGCGUGGGGAGCAAACAGG